AACGUAGGUGGCAAGCGUUAUCCGGAUUUACUGGGCGUAAAGGGUGUGCAGGCGGGGGGUCAAGUGGUGUAUGAAAGCGUCCGGCUCAACCGGGCGUGGCUAUGCCAGACUGGCUCUCUAGAGAGCGAGAGAGGGGCGUGGAAUUCCGGGUGUAGUGGUGAAAUGCGUAGAGAUCCGGAGGAACCCCCGAGGCGAAGGCGGCGCCCUGGCUCGCCUCUGACGCUCAGCCACGAAAGCAUGGGGAGCGAACGGG
RNAcentral lists this ribosomal RNA (253 nucleotides) under uncultured bacterium. Its description in RNAcentral is "partial 16S ribosomal RNA". It matches the Rfam family "Bacterial small subunit ribosomal RNA", at positions 524 to 776 of the family's 1533-position model. The record is from RNAcentral.